Long non-coding RNA from Dreissena polymorpha, 311 nucleotides. RefSeq lists it as uncharacterized. The transcript is spliced from 3 exons. The record is from RefSeq and is a predicted model, not a curated record. Lineage: Eukaryota; Metazoa; Mollusca; Bivalvia; Myida; Dreissenidae.
UAAAAGUUAUGGAUCGACUCGUGUGGAUAUUAUCGGUUUAGACAGACGCGUGUUUUUAACAGAUGUCGGUGCAAAAUUAAUUGGAUAUCACCUGCGAAUUGAGGUUGCAAAGGCGAUCAUGGAAUGGGAUGCUUUCAUAGCGGCCAGUUUCUACAGGGAGGAGGUGGUUGGCAGUGCGGAAUUUAAAGAUACUUUGGGACUCAUCGGGAUGAAUUUUAAUCAGGUCAGAGGCACUACUUGAGACAAUAACGGUGUCAUCUGCAUACAAUAGGACCAGAAGCUUAAGCCACAAUAUUGCAGUAUCUGGGUUG